Molecule: long non-coding RNA, 2231 nt
Filed under: Sus scrofa (pig)
Lineage: Eukaryota; Metazoa; Chordata; Mammalia; Artiodactyla; Suidae
Description: lncRNA (ENSSSCG00005024766.1)
Source: RNAcentral
UGAAUGCUGCCAUGUCCACAAGUUUAGGAAUCCAGUUCUUUCUCCCUUUUAUUUUAUUUUUGGGGGGGCCGGGGGGGGAAGAAGAAGCUCUUUUCGGUGCUCAGCUCAGUGUGGGGGAAAUCUCUUCGGUUGUUUGGGGCUUUGUUUUUUUAAGCACUUAUUUAAGCCCGGGGCUUCCAGCUAGCCUUGCCCUGCCUGGUUUAUAACUGCCCUGCCCACAGACGGCUCACGGGGGGCACGUCCACCAGACCAGCCCUCGGGGGCCCUGAGUGGUCCCAGGGCCUGCCUGUGCCCUGAUCCUGUCCUGGUUUCCCACCUGCAGAGCUGUGGCCCCAGGCAUCCUGACUGGCCAGGGCUGAACGGUGGACCGUCGGGCAGGGAGUCAGUCCCCAGGCCACGCUGCCGCUGCUGUCCAGGAACUGGGGUCCAUGGCUGCCCGCGUUUCUCUGUUGGUCCCUGAAGCUUUUCAUUUAAGACGUGGUCUUUGCAGAAGUGCAGCUCCAAGCUCACCUCGCUCCUCUGGCAGGCUGACAAAGCUCCCGCAGACACAGCCUGGGUUCCCCACGUUCGAGGGUAGCCAGGGUCUUGAUUUACAGAACAUGGGAGAUCAGGCCCAGGAAGUGCUGGGGUGCAACUCAGAGGAAAAUUCCCACGUAAAUAGGUUUUUUGGUUAUUUUCUGGCAUCAGAGGCGUUCGGGUCCUGUGUGUGCCGGCCUGAGCCGCCGGCUGGCCGGAGCAGACACCAGCAAAUGUUGAAAGUGAGCUCAGCGCACGAGGAAUAUCUGCGGCCGCUUUUGUUCUUAGAUUAGACAGCAGUCGGUACUGGAGGACUUGGGGCUGCAGAGACAGGCAUCUCUGUAGCAGAGAUAAUUAAAACAUUUUCAUGACUAUGACAGCCACAUUCUGCUGCUGCAAGCUGGAAGAUCACUCCACCCAAAUAUUUAGCAAGCACCAAAUAAAACACUGGUGGCAAAAUAAAAGUAAUAGCAAGAAACAGAGUGUCAUAAAUUCUAAAGGCAGAGGAGUCGAGAGACUAGAGAAGCUGGUAGAGGGGGCGGGGAGGGGGGUAAUCAUUUGGAAAGAAUUUAGACUUCUCAGAGCUGCCCACUCCUCCUUUUUUUUUUAAUUUUAUUUUUUGUUAUAAUUAAUGUUGGUGAAUCGGCCUUUAAUUCUAAAUCCUGGAGCGAUAGUCCCAUUUCCUGAGAGUUAACUCGCCGUCUUUUUGGACAGGGUAGGGGCAGGUAGCAUAAAAUCAAUUAAUCUCCAUAAAUGAGCAUUUUCCCUCUAAAUUAGUAUCUUCCUCUGAGGUUCUGUUCCUCUAAUCGUCUUACUGUAUCUGGAUAAUACAUUUUCCAGCAUACAUCUUAUGCAGUUGGGAUAGUUAGAUGAGACCAAAUAUCAUCUUAGUUUUUUAACUCGGGUCGUAACACUUUAUCUUUCCCAAACAGUAAAAUUCCAUGGAGGUUUUUGUUUGUUUGUUUGGUUUUGUUUUUUUAAUCAGGCAAAAAUAUCAGCAUUCUCCAUGGUACCCAGUACGUAGCGAUAUUUUUUUCGAAGAAAGUACCACGCAUCUCAGUUUUCACAUGAUCUCGCUUCUAUAUAAAUUCCACUAUAGACUGAAAUUAUACAUUCUCGCAGCACAGAUGGGCUGGUCUGUCAUUACGACUGCUGGGUCCUUGUUGGAACACACAGCAUAUUUCAGUGUGGCGUCGACAAUUUCGAAGAACUGAGGUCAAAAUAAACAAGUUGCAUUUGUGUAUAAAAACAGCCUUAUUAAAUGAUCUUCUGAUCCCCCGGGGGGGGGUGGGGAAAUGGGUAGAGGAACAACCAUCACCUUCAUUAAACUUUAAUUUCACAUUUGAUCUUUCAGCUGCACCUUUUGAAGACUCCAAACGCCUUCUGUCAGAGGAGCUUACCUGUUGUAAUCAAUUACCAAUUUUUAGUCUUGUUUGCCUCAUGAACGGCGUGACCCUAGGUGUAUAUUCAAAAUGAUGGGGUUUGGCACUUUUUGAUUUUAAUAUCAUCAUAAUCUCUAUAGGAAAGACAUUCAGUCCUUAACUGUCCUAUGUAGACGUCCAUAAAAUUAUUUUGAGAAGCUUCCCCAAAAAUCAGAUGAUCACUAUUUUGCCUGGUCGAAAGGUACAUUGAAGUCCCAGCUGAAAUAAAUAAGUAAAUAAAUAAACUCAACAGGUAAACGACACAGAGUAGCUAUAAACUUAAAAAAAAAAAAA